GGUCAAUAGGUCAUAAUAGAGCAGACCUCAAUAGGUCAUAAUAGAGUAGAGGUCAAUAGGUCAUAAUAGAGCAGACCUCAAUAGGUCAUAAUAUAGUAGAGGUCAAUAGGUCAUGAUAGAGCAGACCUCAAUAGGUCAUGAUAGAGUAGAGGUCAAUAGGUCAUAACAUAGUAGAGGUCAAUAGGUCAUAAUAGAGCAGACCUCAAUAGGUCAUAAUAGAGUAGACCUCAAUAGGUCAUAAUAUAGUAGAGGUC
Molecule: long non-coding RNA, 254 nt
Organism: Oncorhynchus keta (chum salmon)
Lineage: Eukaryota; Metazoa; Chordata; Actinopteri; Salmoniformes; Salmonidae
Exons: 5
Source: RefSeq, a predicted model, not a curated record